UCUGGCUUCUUUAAGAACUCCACAACCUCCAUGAAGUCCUGCUUUGCUUCAUCAACUCCAGCAACAUCAUCGAAUGUUACACCGGUGUUAGGUUCCAUUUGAAACUUUGCUUUCGAUUGACCAAAAGCAAGGGGAAAACCAGGCCCACCCGGACCUCCCAUUCCACCAGACGAUCUCCUUGAAAGAAGGAACAACCCUCCAAUCAAGAUUAAUGGGAAUGCUAGAUUGCCAAUCAAGUUAAAUAACAACGAACCGGAGUCUUCUUGAGCAUUAUGGGCAGCAAAGUCAAUGUUCUUCUCCCUAAACUUCUGAAGAAGU
RNAcentral lists this long non-coding RNA (318 nucleotides) under Gossypium barbadense (sea-island cotton). RNAcentral describes it as "long non-coding RNA (GBAR_LNC013129)". Lineage: Eukaryota; Viridiplantae; Streptophyta; Magnoliopsida; Malvales; Malvaceae. The record is from RNAcentral.